GUCGCUACUACCGAUUGAAUGUCUUAGUGAAUCAUACGGAUCACUGCUUUUCGUUGGCAACUUCGAAGAGUGCGUGAGAAGUAUGGUAAACUUGAACAUUUAGAGGAAGUAA
Molecule: ribosomal RNA, 112 nt
Filed under: uncultured eukaryote
Lineage: Eukaryota
Description: partial small subunit ribosomal RNA
Rfam family: Eukaryotic small subunit ribosomal RNA
Source: RNAcentral